CUCUCAAGAAGUUAGCGGCGGACGGGUGAGUAACACGUGGGUAACCUGCCCAUAAGACUGGGAUAACUCCGGGAAACCGGGGCUAAUACCGGAUAACAUUUUGAACUGCAUGGUUCGAAAUUGAAAGGCGGCUUCGGCUGUCACUUAUGGAUGGACCCGCGUCGCAUUAGCUAGUUGGUGAGGUAACGGCUCACCAAGGCAACGAUGCGUAGCCGACCUGAGAGGGUGAUCGGCCACACUGGGACUGAGACACGGCCCAGACUCCUACGGGAGGCAGCAGUAGGGAAUCUUCCGCAAUGGACGAAAGUCUGACGGAGCAACGCCGCGUGAGUGAUGAAGGCUUUCGGGUCGUAAAACUCUGUUGUUAGGGAAGAACAAGUGCUAGUUGAAUAAGCUGGCACCUUGACGGUACCUAACCAGAAAGCCACGGCUAACUACGUGCCAGCAGCCGCGGUAAUACGUAGGUGGCAAGCGUUAUCCGGAAUUAUUGGGCGUAAAGCGCGCGCAGGUGGUUUCUUAAGUCUGAUGUGAAAGCCCACGGCUCAACCGUG
Molecule: ribosomal RNA, 551 nt
Filed under: Bacillus sp. (in: firmicutes)
Lineage: Bacteria; Bacillati; Bacillota; Bacilli; Caryophanales; Bacillaceae
Description: bacterial SSU rRNA
Rfam family: Bacterial small subunit ribosomal RNA
Source: RNAcentral